GACGAACGCUGGCGGCGUGCUUAACACAUGCAAGUCGAACGGUGAAGCGCCUUCCUUUUUGGUGGGUGUGGAUGAGUGGCGAACGGGUGAGUAACACGUGAGUAACCUGCCCCCUUCUUCUGGAUAACCGCAUGAAAGUGUGGCUAAUACGGGAUAUUCUGGGUCUGUCGCAUGAUGGGUCUGGGAAAGAUAUUGUUUCGGUGGGGGAUGGGCUCGCGGCCUAUCAGCUUGUUGGUGGGGUGAUGGCCUACCAAGGCGGUGACGGGUAGCCGGCCUGAGAGGGUGGACGGUCACACUGGGACUGAGCCACGGCCCAGACUCCUACGGGCGGCAGCAGUGGGGAAUAUUGCACAAUGGGCGCAAGCCUGAUGCAGCGACGCCGCGUGAGGGAUGGAGGCCUUCGGGUUGUGAACCUCUUUCGCCAGUGAAGCAGGCCUGCCUCGUUUGUGGGUGGGUUGACGGUAGCUGGAUAAGAAGCGCCGGCUAACUACGUG
RNAcentral lists this ribosomal RNA (494 nucleotides) under uncultured bacterium. RNAcentral's name for it is "partial 16S ribosomal RNA". It matches the Rfam family "Bacterial small subunit ribosomal RNA", at positions 28 to 507 of the family's 1533-position model. The record is from RNAcentral.